This 98-nucleotide small nucleolar RNA is filed under the name Oidiodendron maius Zn. RNAcentral's name for it is "A. fumigatus snoRNA Afu_264". It matches the Rfam family "A. fumigatus snoRNA Afu_264". Lineage: Eukaryota; Fungi; Ascomycota; Leotiomycetes; Myxotrichaceae. The record is from Rfam by way of RNAcentral.
ACUUCCAAUGAUGAUACCUACUUUUACUAUUAUUUUCUGGUACCUCUUGAUUUAGGAACUCCUGCGGGAGGGACAAUGAUCUAACAGGACUUCUGAGU